RNAcentral lists this ribosomal RNA (563 nucleotides) under Amazonian soil bacterium P3b. Its description in RNAcentral is "partial 16S ribosomal RNA". The record is from RNAcentral.
UUCGGGUGUUACCGACUUUCAUGACGUGACGGGCGGUGUGUACAAGGCCCGGGAACGUAUUCACCGCAGCGUUGCUGAUCUGCGAUUACUAGCGACUCCGACUUCACGGGGUCGAGUUGCAGACCCCGAUCCGAACUGAGACCGGCUUUAAGGGAUUCGCUCCACCUCACGGUAUCGCAGCCCUCUGUACCGGCCAUUGUAGCAUGUGUGAAGCCCUGGACAUAAGGGGCAUGAUGACUUGACGUCGUCCCCACCUUCCUCCGAGUUGACCCCGGCAGUCUCCUGCGAGUCCCCGCCAUUACGCGCUGGCAACACAGGACAAGGGUUGCGCUCGUUGCGGGACUUAACCCAACAUCUCACGACACGAGCUGACGACAGCCAUGCACCACCUGUAUACCGACCACAAGGGGGGCCGUAUCUCUACGGCUUUCCGGUAUAUGUCAAACCCAGGUAAGGUCUUCGCGUUGCAUCAAAUUAAUCCACAUGCUCCGCCGCUUGUGCGGGCCCCGUCAAUCCUUUGAAUUUANCCUUGCGGCCGUACUCCCCAGGCGGGGGCUUAAUGC